ACCCGUUGAUCCUGCGGGAGAUUGCUGCUAUUGGGAUUCGAUUUAGCCAUGCAAGUUCUGGGGACUUCGGUCACCGGCGCAUCGCUCAGUAACACGUCACUAAUCUGACCUUAGGUCAGGGACAGCCUUGGGAAACUGAGGGUAAACCCUGAUAGGAAAUGAAGGCUGGAAUGCCUCAAUUCCCAAACUCGCGCCUAAGGAUGAGGUGGCGGUCGAUUAGGUUGUUGGCGGGGUAAUGGCCCACCAAGCCUUUGAUCGGUAGGGGCCCUGGAAGGGGUAGCCCCGAGAAGGACACUGAGAUACUGGUCCUAGCCCUACGGGGUGCAGCAGGCGCGAAACCUUUACAAUGCACGAAAGUGUGAUAAGGGAAUCCCAAGUGCUCAUGCAAUGCAUGGGCUUUUGCCGAGUGUAAAUAGCUCGGCGAAUAAGUGGUGGGCAAGACGGGUGCCAGCCGCCGCGGUAACACCUGCGCCACGAGUGGCAAUCGUAUUACUAGGCCUAAAGCGUCCGUAGCCGGUGGAGUAAAUCUUUUGUGAAAUUGUUGGACUCAAUCCAACAGCGUGCAAGGGACACUGCUUCGCUUGGGACCGGGAGGAGUCAGAGGUAUGCUCAGGGAACUGGUAAAAUGGUAUAAUCCUGAGUAGACCACCUGUGGCGAAGGCGUCUGACCAGAACGGAUCCGACGGUGAGGGACGAAAGCUAGGGGAGCAAACCGGAUUAGAUACCCGAGUAGUCCUAGCAGUAAACGCUGCGAGCUAGGUGUUGCAUAUUCUUCGUGAAUCUGCAGUGUCGAAGCGAAGGUAUUAAGCUCGCCGCCUGGGAAGUACGGUCGCAAGGCUGAAACUUUAAGGAAUUGGCGGGGGAGCACCACAAGGGGUGCGGCGUGCGGUUUAAUCUAACUCAACGCAGAGAAUCUCACUAGAGGCGACGGCAGAAUGAUAGUCAGUCUGAAGGGCUUACUUGACGAGCCGAGAGGUAGUGCAUGGCCGCCGUCAGCUCGUGCUGUAAAGUGUCCAGCUAAGCCUGGUAACGAGCGAGACCUGUAUCCAUAAUUGCUAACGACCACUCCGGUGGGAUUGAGAUCAUUAUGGAGACUGCCCUGGAAACAGGGAGGAAGGUGCAGGCUACGGUAGGUCUGUAUGCUCCGAAUCUUCUAGGCGACACGCGCGCAGCAAUGGUAGAGACAAUGGGAUACAACUCCGAAAGGAGACGUUAAACCUCGAAACUCUACCUUAGUUCAGAUUGAGGGCUGUAACUUGCCCUCAUGACGAUGGAAUCCCUAGUAAUCAGAAGUCAACAUCUUCUGGUGAAUAUGUCCCUGCUCCUUGCACACACCGCCCGUCAAACCAACCGAGCAGGGUCUGAAUGAGACGCAACUUUUGAUUGCGCCGAAUUUUGGCUCAGUGAGGUGGGUUAAGUCGUCACAAGGUA
This 1431-nucleotide ribosomal RNA is filed under the name metagenome. RNAcentral's name for it is "bacterial SSU rRNA". It matches the Rfam family "Archaeal small subunit ribosomal RNA". The record is from RNAcentral.